AUUGAACGCUGGCGGCAGGCUUAACACAUGCAAGUCGAGCGGGGUGAUGGUGCUUGCACUAUCACUUAGCGGCGGACGGGUGAGUAAUGCUUAGGAAUCUGCCUAUUAGUGGGGGACAACAUCUCGAAAGGGAUGCUAAUACUGCAUACGUCCUACGGGAGAAAGCAGGGGAUCACUUGUGACCUUUCGCUAACAGAUGAGCCUAAGUCGGAUUAGCUAGUUGAUGGGGUAAAGGCCUACCAAGGCGACGAUCUGUAGCGGGUCUGAGAGGAUGAUCCGCCACACUGGGACUGGGACACGGCCCAGACUCCUACGGGAGGAAGCAGUGGGGAAUAUUGGACAAUGGGGGGAACCCUGAUCCAGCCAUGCCGCGUGUGUGAAGAAGGCCUUAUGGUUGUAAAGCACUUUAGGCGAGGAGGAGGCUCUUUUGGUUAAUACCCAAGAUGAGUGGACGUUACUCGCAGAGUAAGCACCGGCUAACUCUGUGCCAGCAGCCGCCGCAG
This 503-nucleotide ribosomal RNA is filed under the name uncultured bacterium. Its description in RNAcentral is "partial 16S ribosomal RNA". It matches the Rfam family "Bacterial small subunit ribosomal RNA", at positions 30 to 523 of the family's 1533-position model. The record is from RNAcentral.